GCGCGGUUGUUAGAAACGAUAGCGGGUUUAUUUACGUCAAGUCCCAAUUCGCCGCUAUCAAAGGUUUCAGGAAAAGGGAUAAUGUAUUUUCACUAAACAAAAUUAAUAAAAGUGAGAUCAGCGUAUUUCAAAAGUUACAUUUUAAUCUUGUCACUCUUGUUUAAGUAUGAAUUAUUUCUGAAAAAAUUAUACAACUGUACAUGUAUACGUUUAAGUUAAGAUAAUAAAUAACUGCGGGUGUAUAACUGUAUGACUUCUAUCAUCCAAAUUAGAUUACCAAAAGAUAUACCUUGAACAAAUUACUCACUGCAGUUCAUGAAUCUGCGUCAUAACAUAUAUAAGCAUUAAUUAAUUAAUCAUGCCAAAAAUUAUUUUUGUAAGUUUUAUAAGUCCCUGCAACUUGUGCAACAAUUAAUGCUAUAUUAAGAAAUCAAAAUAUAUUAUUCUGACGAUUACGUUAUAGACAGUGCCAAGUUUUUUAAAAUGGUAAUGAUGAGUGAUUUAUAAGCGUGCACAAAACAUGUUAGUGAAUUAAAUUUAUACAAAUAUGUUUAUUCGCAAAUAUUAAUACGAACCACCAAAACUCUGAAACAACAGUGGCAAGUUGGUCGGUUUGAAAGACAAUAGGAGCUGAAAUAGCCGACCAAUCACUUCGUGUCAGUUUCCCACGAACAGAGGCUGCCACGGAUCAGCGAUCACUCU
Non-coding RNA from Paramuricea clavata, 702 nucleotides. The record is from the annotation of a GenBank genome assembly. NCBI's taxonomy places the organism in Eukaryota, Metazoa, Cnidaria, Anthozoa, Malacalcyonacea, Plexauridae.